AACGGGAUGUGGUACAUAACCAUUUGGUAUUCAUUUUUAUAUUGGUUGUUGUAGACCCAUUCUCCAGAUGUAUUCCCAUUCCCCAGCAACGUCAACUUACAGAUGGCCUUCAUACUCGAUUACUCGAAGGUAACGGAUAUCAAUACGUAAAACGUGCCACAAAUGGUGUAGAGGGUGGGUGAGAAAGGGACAUGUUUCAUCAUUAUCAAGCAGGUACAAUAGCCGAAGGCUUAAGAGGUUAGGGUGAGAAAAAAAAAAUCGUACAAAAGGGAGAGAGAAAAGGCGAUAAAAAUCAGUCAAGUGAGAAUCUCCGACACGGUAACAACUGCAGCGCACCAUAGUUACCAACUUCUUUCUUCAUCGUAUUAUCAGUUCGAAAUCAUGGAUAUAUAUUCUGUUGUUUUUUCAUAUGGUUUUGUUGUAACGCUACUAUUGACUAUUUGUUAAUAUGCGAGUUAUAAUUUUAAUGUUUGAAUUUAUUAAUUGUCCUGGUUAUCUAUGGCGUUGUCCUGCUGUUGGGUGUUGUAUCGUUGAUGGCUGGGUCCACCACAAAUACUACACGACUACGUAUGCUGCCCCGUCCUACUACACCGAGGCUCCCAAGUACUACUUUGUUCACAGCUACUACACCGAGGCUUCAGCUAAUUACUCCUCCAAGACGGUCGAAUACUACACAGGAGCGCCCAAGAACUACUCUUUCCCGAUCUACACAACCACAACGGAUGCGCCCAAGUAUUACGCAGCCACGACUUGCUACACAGAAGCUGCUCCUUCGACCUACGUUGAACAGAAAUACUACACAGAUGUUCCAGUUAACUACACCACAACCUACGCUACAUGUUGCAGCUCCCGUUUUCACGCCUUUUUAUUGACUCAUUUCUAACACUGAUUCUGGAUAUUUAGUUGAAGGAAAAUGCGAAUGUCCCUGAAUACGAUGUUGUUUCGCGACUUCCUUUCCGACUCGGACACUUAUGCCGCUUAUGCGUCAGCUUCAUCAAUUCGCUUAUCGACCGAUAGGUACUUGGACGAUGCUGCCAGAUUGGACGCCUUCAGCGACAGACUGUAAGGAGACCGACUCUCCGCCGUAACAAGUAAACGUGAACCGGACAUAAUGUACAGUGUGCGCUUCCCUGUUUUUAGAGUUGGGAAGUUGUCCGUCGGGUGGCUAUAUUCAACCUCAAAAAAGCAAUCCGGUGUACUUUGGUUACCAGAUAAUUGAGACCCGGAUUACAGAGAGACGUUACCAAUGACUUGUGGAGUUUAUUACUAACAUCGUCAAAAUUACCCAUUUAUUUAAUAGUGGAGUUCAACCUGCAGACGGGCCGGCCAGUUUGCAUGUCCUUCACGCAUGAAGGUCGCGGGGAACAUUACGUAAAACUGUCAAUGCGGUGGUGUAGAGGUUGGGUGAGAACUGGACGUGCUGCAUCAUUAUCAAGCAGACCCAUCCCCAGCAACGUCAACCUAAUAAAGAAGGAAAGGCCAGUUUGCAUUUCCUUCAUUUUCGAAGGUCACGGAGAUCAUUUCGUAAAACGUGCCAUGUGACGGCGGAGAGGUUGGGUGAGAACGACACGUGUAACAUCAUUAUCAAGCAGACCCAUUCCAAUCCCCGGCAACGUCAACCUGUAGAAGGAAAGGACAGUACGCAUGGCCUUUACACUCCAAGGUCACGGAGAUCAUUACAGGUUAGGUGAGAACGGGACGUGUUUCAUCAUUAUGAAGCGGGUAAAAUAGCUGUAAGUCAACGUGCCGAAGGAAAGACCAGUUUGAAUGGCCUUCACGCUCGAAGGUCACGGAGAUGAAUACGUAAAUGCAAUGGUGUAGAGGUUGGGCGAGAACGGGACGUGCUGCAUCAUUGUCAGGCAGUGAACUAUAUCGUCGUGCUGCUGUUGGGUGCUGUAUCGUUGAUGGCUGGGUCGACCACUAGUGUACCGAUGUCUCCUGGGUAUGGUGGAUAGCAAACUGCAACGCCGCCACCUUUCCACACAAUAUUAACACACGCAACAGCCGGUUCCUGCACUAGUACCGAGUCUUCAGAAUAUUACAUCUAAAACUUAUGAAGACCCGAGCUAUUACACCGAAUCCCGAAGUACAAGUCUGUCCUGAGCUACAUUACCAAAUAACUGGAGUACUUCACCGAAGCGCCCAAAUACUAUUUUACUGCCUAUGCUGCCACGAGCUACUCUACCGACGCCCCGCUCUGCCCCGAGCUACACCACCAAGGCAGCGUUGGUGUUGAGAGUUUGUCCACCAGGUCGGAGAGCGCCUGGUGUUGGCAACAUUGCACGCGACACGCGUUUCAUCAUUCAUGCCACUGACGCCAUUUCUAUUUUGGAUGCUGUCAGUUCCGUUCGUGAUUAAUGCCGUAAACUUCAACAUUCUUCUUCACAAAUAUCUUAAAGAAUUAUUGACUUGGCGCAGUUGAGCUUCUUCGAGAAAGUACAAUGUCCAUUGGAUUUGCUGCAGCCAGCUGUUGAAUGAAGACCAUGCGCAGGUGUGAUGAGCUGCUGCGUGGCGCUGGUCUGGGGAAGUGCUGCAUGCUGUCUGUUGUGCUGGUUUGAAUAACACCACAAAGAGUUUGAACCUUUUGUUUUACAAUUUAAAGCUUAAGUUAGCAUUUAAAUUUUUUUAUUGUCUUUGUAAUUUUUUUUUUUCACAUUUCUAAAUCUUAUUUGUUUUGUUGUUUUGUUUUGUUGCUGUUUAGGUUUUCAUAGUCAGUUAGAUUUUGAGUUUAUUAUGGUUUCGCUAUUUGGUGUGCAGUGCAUGUUUAGGUGGUUUUUGUUGCAGCCAGCUGUUAAAAGGAAUUCAAGUCAAAUUGAGCUGCAGGUUCUGGAAGUAGUCUACAUUGCUGGUGUCAUCCUGAAAUGCAACAGUAACAAAGGCAUCAUGUAAUGGAUUUGGUGAUAGCGUGAUGCAUCUGCCUUGGUGACAAUGAUGUAUCAUCUUGCUGCAUGCAGCCAUGUCGAAGCUAGACUCUAAGUAAACCUGCAAAAAUAUUCAUAGAAAUGAAUGGUGAAAAUGUUCAGCGGUUUCGUGUCAAAUGGCAGUGUCAGUGGUUUCUGUUCAAGUUUUUAUCCUGGAUUGCGCUGGUGUCCUUGCAGUAACUAAUGCUGGUGUCUUUGCCGUAACUAAUGCUGGUGCCCUUGCAGUAACUGAUGCUGGUGUCAUCCUGAUGUUGCUGUGCCAGUGAAAUUCAUGUUGAUAGAAAUAUUUUUAUCUGUGUUUGUGUUUCAUUCUGUGUACAUUGAAGAAACUGAUGUGUUUUUACUCUCUGAUAUGAUAUGUUGCAACAAAAGUUAAAUGUGGUCAUCCCAUAUGAUGAAAUUACCUCAACCCUAAUUAGGUGAGUUAGUUAUUAAUUGUAUAACAAAGUCAAACCUGUAAUUUUUUGUUAUUCUUGUAAAUUUUUAUUUGAAACUUUUUUCUACAGUGUUUAAUGUUGCAUUAAAUAAAAAAAAAAACCGAAUAUUCAAUCUUAAAAA
Daphnia pulex (common water flea) is the source of this 3479-nucleotide long non-coding RNA. RefSeq lists it as uncharacterized. The record is from RefSeq and is a predicted model, not a curated record. Lineage: Eukaryota; Metazoa; Arthropoda; Branchiopoda; Diplostraca; Daphniidae. The transcript has 12 exons.